This 506-nucleotide ribosomal RNA is filed under the name uncultured bacterium. RNAcentral describes it as "partial 16S ribosomal RNA". It matches the Rfam family "Bacterial small subunit ribosomal RNA", at positions 29 to 523 of the family's 1533-position model. The record is from RNAcentral.
AGUGAACGCUGGCGGUAGGCCUAACACAUGCAAGUCGAACGGCAGCACAGGAGAGCUUGCUCUCUGGGUGGCGAGUGGCGGACGGGUGAGGAAUACAUCGGAAUCUACUCUGUCGUGGGGGAUAACGUAGGGAAACUUACGCUAAUACCGCAUACGACCUACGGGUGAAAGGAGGGGACCUUCGGGCCUUGCGCGAUUGAAUGAGCCGAUGUCGGAUUGGCUAGUUGGCGGGGUAAAGGCCCACCAAGGCGACGAGCCGUAGCUGGUCUGAGAGGAUGAUCAGCCACACUGGAACUGAGACACGGUCCAGACUCCUACGGGAGGCAGCAGUGGGGAAUAUUGGACAAUGGGCGCAAGCCUGAUCCAGCCAUACCGCGUGGGCGAAGAAGGCCUUCGGGUUGUAAAGCCCUUUUGUUGGGAAAGAAAUCCAGCUGGCUAAUACCCGGUUGGGAUGACGGUACCCAAAGAAUAAGCACCGGCUAACUUCGUGCCAGCCGCCGCCGUAA